AGUAUAUGGAUAAAUUUAACAUAGUAAUGUUACUUGCAGAAAAUAUACAGAAAAUUUUUUUUUAGAAAUUUUCAUUUCUUCUGUUAGGAAAGUCCCCGAGAUAAACAAUUAGUAUUCUGAAAGUUUUUUUAGGAAAGCUAAUAACUUAAUAAGUUAUUAAUCUUUUAAAUUCUUUGUAAAUUUUUAAUUAUAUACAAAGUUAUAUUUAAAAUGCGAGUUAAAUGUAACAUGUGUCUU
This is a non-coding RNA of Plasmodium gallinaceum, 237 nucleotides long. RefSeq annotates it as RNase MRP. The transcript has a single exon. NCBI's taxonomy places the organism in Eukaryota, Apicomplexa, Aconoidasida, Haemosporida, Plasmodiidae. The record is from RefSeq and is a predicted model, not a curated record.